This 248-nucleotide ribosomal RNA is filed under the name uncultured Thermaceae bacterium. RNAcentral describes it as "partial 16S ribosomal RNA". It matches the Rfam family "Bacterial small subunit ribosomal RNA", at positions 85 to 334 of the family's 1533-position model. Lineage: Bacteria; Thermotogati; Deinococcota; Deinococci; Thermales; Thermaceae. The record is from RNAcentral.
UCCGUGGUCAGCGGCGGACGGGUGAGUAACGCGUGGGUGACCUACCCGGAAGAGGGGGACAACCCGGGGAAACUCGGGCUAAUCCCCCAUGUGGACCCGCCCCUUGGGGUGUGUCCAAAGGGCUUUGCCCGCUUCCGGAUGGGCCCGCGUCCCAUCAGCUAGUUGGUGGGGUAAUGGCCCACCAAGGCGACGACGGGUAGCCGGUCUGAGAGGAUGGCCGGCCACAGGGGCACUGAGACACGGGCCCC